Molecule: ribosomal RNA, 460 nt
Filed under: uncultured bacterium
Lineage: Bacteria
Description: partial 16S ribosomal RNA
Rfam family: Bacterial small subunit ribosomal RNA
Source: RNAcentral
CCUACGGGUGGCAGCAGUGAGGAAUAUUGGUCAAUGGGCGAGAGCCUGAACCAGCCAAGUCGCGUGAGGGAAUAAGGCCCUAUGGGUCGUAAACCUCUUUUGUCAGGGAGCAAAGGCGUCCACGUGUGGACGAGAGGAGAGUACCUGAAGAAAAAGCAUCGGCUAACUCCGUGCCAGCAGCCGCGGUAAUACGGAGGAUGCGAGCGUUAUCCGGAUUUAUUGGGUUUAAAGGGUGCGUAGGCGGAGUGUCAAGUCAGCGGUAAAAUUUCGGGGCUCAACCCCGUCGUGCCGUUGAAACUGACGCCCUUGAGUGAGUGAGAGGUAAGCGGAAUGCGUGGUGUAGCGGUGAAAUGCAUAGAUAUUGGGAAGAACACCGGCGGCGAAGGCGGCCUUCUGGGCCACGACUGACGCUGAGGCGCGAAAGCUAGGGGAGCGAACAGGAUUAGAUACCCCUGUAGUC